GGAGUGGUGUGGGCCUUUGAGAGGUGGGGCCUCACGGGAAGUCUUUGCUUCAUUGGGGCCGUGUCUUACAGGACCCCCUGAUUCUCUGCCUCUACUUCCUGCCUUAUCUUGUGACUACUUGUGUUCUGGCCAUUGCCACCUGCUGUCCUCAGAAGCCAAACCGAGGGGCCGCCUGAUCUCGGGUGGACUGGGAAAUUCUCAUCACACCUACACUGACAGAAGGUCUGAGACACUGGACUCCUGCAUCUAGGCCUCAGUGCUGGCUCCCAGUGGGCCCGCCCUCUCCUUGAGGGCCCCCGUCCUUCCGUAACCUAUAGCCUCACAGCAGAAUCCAUCCCAAGAGCAGAAGCUGUAAGUCCUCUUGAGGCCAAACUGGACAAACUGGAAUUCAUGCGAUGUUACCUCUGCCGUGUUCUGCUACCUUACCACAUGUCAGCAAGACCAGCCCAGCUAAGAAAUUCUUCUCCCUCUCUUACUUUUUGUUCUUUGAGACAGUCUCUCAGUAUGUAGUUCAGCCUGGCCUCUACUCAUGACCAUCCUCCUGCCUCGGCUUCCUGGGUGCAAGGAUUCCAGGCAUGUACCACCAUGCCAGACAAGAUUCUCUCCCUUUUUUUUUUUUUGGUACUGGGGAUAGAACCCAUAACCUUGCACUUGCCAGGCAGGCACUGUGCUUCUGAGCUAUGUCCUCAGGCAAACAAAAUAUUUUUUAAUUGAAGAGUCUCAUACAUAACAUGAUCACUUAGAGAAAUCUAUUCAAUCUACCAUAUAUGAGUUUGAAAUGUAUUUUUAAAAUAUGAUUUUUAAAAAAUUUUUUUGUGUUUUUCAUUUUUAUCAGUACCAGGGAUCGAACUCACGACGGCCUGCUUGCAAGGCAGCUGCUUAUGCCACUGAGCUAAAUCCCCAGCCCUAAAAUAUGAAUAUAUUUUGAAACUUCCCUAUUUUGAAACAGAGAUUAAAAAUCAGAAACUUCUAGAAUAACAAAAAAAUUAAGUGAAAUGCCGGGCAUGGUGCCUCACGCCUGUAAUCCCAGCACUCGGGAGGCUGAGGCAGGAGGAUCCUUGUGAGUUCGAGACCAGCCCGGGCAACACAGUGAACUCAAGGCCAGCCUGAACUGCAUAAUGAGACCCUGUCUCACAAAGACAAAUAAAUAAGUGAAAUAAGAUACUAUUUGAAAUCAGAAACUGCUGGGUAAAGACUGUCAAAUAAUAAUAAUAAUAAUAAUAAUAAUAAUAACAAA
Molecule: long non-coding RNA, 1237 nt
Organism: Cavia porcellus (domestic guinea pig)
Lineage: Eukaryota; Metazoa; Chordata; Mammalia; Rodentia; Caviidae
Exons: 2
Source: RefSeq, a predicted model, not a curated record